Molecule: long non-coding RNA, 4356 nt
Organism: Dama dama (fallow deer)
Lineage: Eukaryota; Metazoa; Chordata; Mammalia; Artiodactyla; Cervidae
Exons: 3
Source: RefSeq, a predicted model, not a curated record
AUCUUUUUGAGUCUGGCCACAUGUUAGGUCUGGAAUCUCAAAAGAUACUUGGGGCAUAAUUAGAAGAAGGGAGGCUUUGGAUGUGGGGAAAGGAGGAACAGAGUGUCUCAAGGAAAGAGGCCAGGGUGCUGGAGCCUGCUUGCCUCAGUGUCAGGCACUGGACCACCUCUAGGCAGUUCUCGAGUCAGUGGCGUGGUGUUCCUCAUUUCACAGAGGAAGACAUCAGUCGUUUCUGAGACCCACGUGGCAGCCAUGUGGGUCAGAGCCAGGAGGCUGGAGUUUUCAUUUUUCAUCCUCUAACAAUGUCUGUAUUUUAUCCUCCAUCCACUGAAUCCAGAGGCUUAUCUGUGCCAUCCCCUCUCCCUCACCGAGUCCUGUCUCACGUGUCCUCUGGAAGUCUUCCAAAGACACCAUCUUCUCUCCAGCCCCACUGUCAUCACCAACCACCCAAGUCCAAGUUGCCAUCGUUCCUCAAGUUCACACGAUGAUGUCCUCUAUCCCUUCUCUGUCUUGUAGCCUCGACCUUACAGUCCAUGGGAGCUUGAGGUGGUCCAAGUCCAGUCACGGCACUGACUCCUUCAAGGGCUUCCAGGGAAAGAAAAUCUCCAGCAAACACAGAAGUAGAGAGAACAGUACAAUGAACCCCCAUGUACCCAACCAUCCACUUUAAAAGAUGACCGACUCAAGGACGGUUUUCUUUGACUUUGAUCAAGACACGUGUGCUAAAGGCUGAAUUUGGACUCAGCUCAGAGGUCACACAGUGAGUUUAUUGGAGACACAACAAAACCCAUCUUGAUAUGUAGGGAUGGGGAGAAGCACGGGGUGCCCUAGAGGAGUGGCAGGGACCACCCCCGGGGUUGAAGGAGGGGGUCGGGGAGGGCCCCCCCGAACCAGGACCCAGCAGGACAAGAGUCAGCCAAGCAGAGGCGGCAAGACCUGCAGGGAAGAGCAUGUUUCAUAGGAAGAGACACUGGUCAGACGUAAUACCUCCCUUCGAGUCAACCCUGCCCUCCCUCCCUGGGGCUUUUGCUCGGCUCUUGCCUCUUCUGUCUUGAGCAGUUUUCUCUUUGUCCAGCUGACUCCUUCCUCUCUCCCCACAAGCAUCUCAAGUCUCUCCCCUCGUAACCAGCCUGCCUUUUAUCUCUCAUCCUCCGCAGCCUAGGACACUGGCACUUCAGGAUACUCAGCAUCUCCUCACAUGACGCCACCACCUGCCCAGUUGCUCACACUGGAAAUUCACACGGCCCCUUCGUUCUGCCCUAUUCCCUCACUUCCCACCUCCGAUCUACCAGGGAGUCCUGUCAGUGGGUUCCCCCAAAUGAUCAAGAAUCCAACGACUUCUCCCCACCCUCAGCCCCCACCCUAACAGUGUGAAAUUCCCAGGUUCCUCCUCUCGCUGUUCCUGCCUCAGUUCCCCACACAGCUAGCAGGAUCCUUUUAAAGAUACCUACCAACACUGGGCUUCCCAUGCUUAACCAUCCAGUGGCUUCCUGUAGUAUUUAGAGAAAAAUCCAGAGUCUUCACCCUCUGGCUCUCCACUGCCUUGGGUAAGUGACAGCCCCUCUGGGCCCCCAAAUCUUUCAGCUAUAAAAUGUGGACACUAAUUACACCAGCCCCACCAGAUCACUGUAAGGGUUCAGUGUGCCAGGUUACAGGCAGCACCUCCAAUGUCAGCUCUUUUUACUCUUCUUUCCCUCCUUCUUUCCUGACUUCUCCCCCAGCCCCUCUUCCCACGUUCCCUGUUUUUGUUAACGCAUCACUGAGACCAUCCUCCUUUUUAAUACACUGGAGUCCUUCUGGUCCUUCUUUCCCUACAUCAUCCUGCCUUCCUCCUUUUCAUCUGUCACAUCCUUGUGCUGUGAAUUCUUUCUCCACAAAGUUGCUGACUGUGGUCCCAGGCCACACUGCAGGCAGAGCUGGUAUGGGUCAGAGUUGAGCUACUUCCCAACCAACCUCCCCAACCCUGAAAAUAGCAGGAAGAUUUCCACCACCAUCCCUUUUUCAAAAAUCUUGAGGCCCCCUCCCGGCCCUCGAGAACUUAUUCUCCAAGAACAAAGGCCCGCCCUUAGCCUGGCCUCCUGCUCAGCCUUAACACUGUCUCCCAUAGCAGGUUCCAGGCACAGUGCUCCCACCGUGGUUAUGCAGAUUCUCCACUCUGUGCCAUCCUCCCCCCAACCCCACCCCGGAAGGCCCAGUGCACCCCUCUGUCUGUAGCCUGCCCUGGCCUGGGCCACCCCACUUUGGACCCUGAACUACCACCGGUGCUCCAUUUCUGUCGCUGGCGUCACAUGCCCCCUACCACCUGGUGCAGUGAAUGUCAAGACUGCAUUCACAAUGUCAGCUCUUCCUAAGGACAGGAGCCGCAUCUCGUUUUAUCACUCAUCUCCCCAAGCAGAAGAUUUAGUGUCCUGAGCUUAUGAUCUAAGUUACAUCUACUGUGACCUGCCAGGGGUGAUGCAACAACCCCACGAAACAGGUCCUCUUAUUAUCCCCGCUGUAGAGAUAAGGAAGUUGAGGCUUAGAGAGUCUCAGAACUUGCCCAUGGGCAUCACUGGUUGAUGCCUGCGAAGCGGGGCUGCAGCCCAAGGUGAGUCUGACUCUGGAGCUUCCUGCAAAUGAUAACAGCCGAUGGGUGCCAGGCCCCGUGCUAGACAUCAUGAUGUUACCCAUUGUUAUCCUCAAAAGACCCCCUAGGGUGGGGAUUAUGAUCCUCAUCCUACACUGGAGAUAGCAAAGGCAUACCUGCCAUGAUGAGAGCAUCCAGGAACUGGCAGUGGAAGGGAAGUUCCUCCACCUGACAAAGACAUCUGCGAAAGCCCCCAGUGAACAUAUGGGAUGAUGAAAGCCUGAAUGCUUUCCAUCUGUGAAGAAGAAGACAGACAUGUCCGCUGUCUCCAGGACUGGACAACGCUAUCCUGGAGGGUGCAGUCAGGGCAGAUCAGCAAGACGUAGAAACCCAAGACAUUCCUAUGAGGAAGGAAGGAGAAAAACACUCCCUCUGUGCAGAUGACAAGAUGCUUUAUGUAGAAAACCCUGAGGGAUACACACACAUACUGCUAAGAGCUAGUCAAUGAGUUCAGCAAGGUCCCAGGACACAAAAUCAAUACACAAAAAUCAGCUGUAUUUCUGGACACUAACAAUGAACACUCUAAAAAUGAAAUGAAGGAAACAAGUCCCUGUAGGAUAGUGUCAAUGAGAAUAAAAUAUGUAGGAAUAAAGUUCAUCAGAAAAGAGCAAGACUCUGACACUGAAAACUGUAAAACUGUUGAGGAAUAUUAUUCAGCCAUAAAAAGUAGUGAAGUACUGACAGAGGCUGCAAUGUAGGUGAAUGUCAAAAAUAUGAUGCUAUGUGAAGGGAACCAGACACAAAAGACCACAUAUUGUAUGAGCCCAUAUAAAUGGAUUAUCCAGAAUAGGCAAAUCCUUAGAGACAGAAAGUAGAUUGGUGUUGGCAGGGGGAGAAGAACAGGAGUGUACUUAAUGGAUAUGGGGUAUUCUUUUGGUGUAAUGACACCGUUUGGGGACUUAAUAUAGAUGGUGGUUACAUGACAUUAUGACUGUACUAAAUGCCACUGAAUUUACAUGUUAAGAUAGUUCAUCUCAUGUAAAUUUCACCUGAAUUUUUUUUAAUGUUGAAAAAAAUGUAGAGAAGACCUAAGUAAAUGGAAAGACAUCCUGUGUUUAUGGAUUAGAAGACAAUAUUGCCAAGAUGGUAACACUCCCUAAAGUGACCUAUGGAUUCAGUGCAGUCCCUUUCAGAAUCACAACUAUGUUUUUGCAGAAAUAACAAGUUGAUCCUGAAAUUCAUAUGGAAAUGCAAGGGGCCCAGAACAGCCAAAACGAUCUUGAAAAAGAAAUACAAAGUGAGAGGGCUCACACUUCUCAAUUCAAAAACUUACUGCAAAGCUACAGUCGUCAAGAAGCGUGGUACCAGCAUUAAAACAGACAUGGAGGGACUUCAUGGUGGUCUGGUGGUUAAGACUUUGUCUUCCAAUGCAGGGGGUGGGUGUGGGUUCAAUCCCUGGUCAGGGAGCUAAAAUCCCACAUGCUUCAAGGCCAAUAAACCAAAACAUAAAACAGAAACAGUAUUGUUACAAAUUCAAUAAAGACUUUUAAAAAAUGGUCCAUGUCAAAAAAAAAUCUUUAAAAAGAUAAAUUUAUAAAAACAGACAUGUAGAUCAAUGGAAUUUUAUUCUACUGAGAGUCCAGAAAUAAACGUAUAAAUCCACUGUCAAAUGGUUUUUGAUAGGGAUGCCAAGACUCUUGUGGGGAAAGAAUAAUCUUUUCAGCAGAUGGUGUUAGGACUUAGUGACGGAAAAAGAUAGAUGUAAAUCUUCAUCACCAUGGAUAGGGCAA